RNAcentral lists this long non-coding RNA (488 nucleotides) under Homo sapiens (human). Its description in RNAcentral is "HSALNT0292439". Lineage: Eukaryota; Metazoa; Chordata; Mammalia; Primates; Hominidae. The record is from RNAcentral.
ACUUCUUACAUUCAGGGAUACCCAGACAGUAAUCCAGCCAGGGCUUGUGAAGAAAGACAGGGUGAAAAGACAUGGUCAGAGUGCCUGUUAGGCAUUGCUGUUCUCCAGGGAAUAUCCACAGGGUAAUCAGAAGUCCAGAGUCUCUUCUGUAUGUGUUCCAGUUAGUUGUAUUAUUGUAUGUUUAUAAAUAUAAAAUAAAACAUGAAUAAUAAUUGAGUAUACUAUUUGAAAUUAGAGUUUCAUUUGUUUUUUUAUAAUCUGAUAUUUUAUUUUAGAUACAGGAGUUACAUGUGCAGGUUUGUUACGUGGGUGUACAGCAUGAUGCUGAGGUUUGGGGUAGAGAUCCUGUCAUCCAGAGAGUGAGCAUAGGACCCAAUAAGUGGCUUAUUAACCCACACUUCCCUCCUAGCCUCCUUCCUCUAGUAGUCCACAGUGUCUAUUGUUCCCAUAAAGACAAAAAAAAAUAGACAUUGUUUAGCUCCCACUUA